AACUUCCUUGUCUUGGGGAGCAUAAUGCACAGUGAUCGUAAAGUGAGGGCAUUUAUGCUGACACCCACAAGUUAAAUCUUGAUAACCCGCGCCCGGCCGCCGUCAGGUUGUCGAGCGCAAUUUUUAACG
RNAcentral lists this non-coding RNA (129 nucleotides) under Operophtera brumata (winter moth). RNAcentral describes it as "U4atac minor spliceosomal RNA". It matches the Rfam family "U4atac minor spliceosomal RNA". Rfam says of the family: U4atac is an essential component of the minor U12-type spliceosome complex which is required for removal of the rarer class of eukaryotic introns (AT-AC, U12-type). The record is from Rfam by way of RNAcentral. Lineage: Eukaryota; Metazoa; Arthropoda; Insecta; Lepidoptera; Geometridae.